GCGAGUCUGGCCGAGUGGUUAAGGCGUUGUGUUUAGGUUGGUUCGUUGAGCUGAGAUAACUUGAUCCGCAAUGGGCAUGCCCGCGUAGGUUCGAUCCCUACGGCUCGCA
Molecule: non-coding RNA, 109 nt
Organism: Trichoderma gamsii
Lineage: Eukaryota; Fungi; Ascomycota; Sordariomycetes; Hypocreales; Hypocreaceae
Source: Rfam